UGGGGAAUAUUGCACAAUGGGCGCAAGCCUGAUGCAGCAAUGCCGCGUGUGUGAAGAAGGCCUUAGGGUUGUAAAGCACUUUCACCGGUGACGAUGAUGACGGUAGCCGGAGAAGAAGCCCCGGCUAACUCCGUGCCAGCAGCCGCGGUAAUACGGAGGGGGCAAGCGUUGUUCGGAUUUACUGGGCGUAAAGAGCACGUAGGCGGCGCGGUCAGUCGGAGGUGAAUGCCCCGGGCUCAACCUGGGAACUGCCUUUGAUACUGCUGUGCUGGAGUCCGGGAGAGGGUGGUGGAAUUCCCAGUGUAGAGGUGAAAUUCGUAGAUAUUGGGAAGAACACCAGUGGCGAAGGCGGCCACCUGGCCCGGGACUGACGCUGAGGUGCGAAAGCGUGGGGAGCAAACAGGAUUAGAUACCCCCGUAGUCC
Molecule: ribosomal RNA, 424 nt
Filed under: uncultured prokaryote
Description: bacterial SSU rRNA
Rfam family: Bacterial small subunit ribosomal RNA
Source: RNAcentral